AUGAGGAACCCUGCUCAGCUCCUGGGGCUCCUGCUGCUCCAGCACCAAGGUGCCAUGUGUGACAUCCAGAUGACUCAGUCUUCAUCCUCCUUGUCUGCAUCUAUCCGAAUUCUGGAUCAAGUGAAUAUUCGUGACCCUGGGAACAACACCUGCAAUAGUAGAGUCACCAAGGUGCCACCAGCCUGCAGCUGGGCCAAACCCUUUCCAGCUCUGCUAAUUUGCAUAUCCCAGGAGACCAGCCAGCUACUUCAGGACUUCUUCAUAGGCUUGUGGUCUCACCCUGUGAAGCUCCAGUCCCACUCAGGACACACCAUUGACAUGGGGGUCCUCACUCACUUUCUGGGCCUCUUGGUGCUCUCGAUAUCAGGUGCCAGAUGUGACAUCCAGUUGACACAGCCUCCAUCUGCAUCUGCUUCUGUGGGAGACACAGUCAAGAUCAGUUGCCGGGCCAGUCAGAGUGUUGGUAGUUACUUAAACUGGUAUCAGCAGAAACCAGGGCAAGCUCCUAAACCCCUGAUCUAUCAUGCCACCAAUUUGCAGUCUGGGGUCCCAUCAAGGUUCAGUGGCAGUGGAUCUGGGACAGAUUUCACUCUCAGCAUUAGCGGCCUGCAGCCUGAGGACUUUGCAACAUACUACUGUCAGCAGCAUAACAGUUUGCCUCCCACAGUGAUACAAGCCAUGACAUAAACCUUCCAGAGAAGC
Non-coding RNA from Cavia porcellus (domestic guinea pig), 702 nucleotides. Lineage: Eukaryota; Metazoa; Chordata; Mammalia; Rodentia; Caviidae. The record is from the annotation of a RefSeq genome assembly.